This 135-nucleotide non-coding RNA is filed under the name Microbulbifer donghaiensis. Its description in RNAcentral is "SAM-I-IV sequence". The stretch from base 1 to 114 matches the Rfam family "SAM-I/IV (S-adenosyl methionine) riboswitch aptamer". From Rfam's summary of the family: It is found upstream of a number of genes which code for proteins involved in methionine or cysteine biosynthesis. It has been found mostly in the order Actinomycetales. Lineage: Bacteria; Pseudomonadati; Pseudomonadota; Gammaproteobacteria; Cellvibrionales; Microbulbiferaceae. The record is from RNAcentral.
CCCCCACAUCAAGAGAGUGGCUGACGCCAACGCCAACCUGCCAACCGGGGCAAGGUGGUUUCCCUUUCGCAGUAUGCAGAGGGGAUGGGACUCGAAAGUGCUUAUUGAAAGCAUCGGGUAAUCCAACCGGAGUAA